RNAcentral lists this ribosomal RNA (253 nucleotides) under uncultured bacterium. Its description in RNAcentral is "partial 16S ribosomal RNA". It matches the Rfam family "Bacterial small subunit ribosomal RNA", at positions 524 to 776 of the family's 1533-position model. The record is from RNAcentral.
UACAGAGGUCCCGAGCGUUGUUCGGAUUGACUGGGCGUAAAGGGUGCGUAGGUGGCGAGGUAAGUCGGAUGUGAAAGCUCGGAGCUCAACUCCGAAAUGGCAUUGGAAACUACCUUGCUCGAGGGUUGGAGGGGGGACUGGAAUACUUGGUGUAGCAGUGAAAUGCGUAGAUAUCAAGAGGAACACCCAUGGCGAAGGCAGCAAACUGGGCAUCAACUGACGCUGAGGCGCGAAAGCGUGGGUAGCAAACAGG